CCGGGAGGCAGCAGUUAGGAAUCUUGGGCAAUGGGCGAAAGCCUGACCCAGCAACGCCGCGUGGGUGACGAAGGCCUUCGGGUCGUAAAGCCCUUUUGCACGGGAAGAUGAUGACGGUACCGUGCGAAUAAGCCCCGGCUAACUACGUGCCAGCAGCCGCGGUAAUACGUAGGGGGCGAGCGUUGUCCGGAUUUAUUGGGCGUAAAAGGCUUGUAGGUGGCCACGCCAAGUCGGAUGUGAAAUCUCCCGGCUCAACUGGGAGGGGUCAUUCGAUACUGGCGGGCUCGAGGCCGGUAGGGGGAAGCGGAAUUCCCGGUGUAGUGGUGGAAUGCGUAGAUAUCGGGAGGAACACCAGUGGCGAAGGCGGCUUCCUGGACCGGUUCUGACACUGAGGAGCGAAAGCGUGGGGAGCGAUCCGGAUUAGAUACCCGGGUAGUCCACGCCGUAAACGGUGGGCACUAGAUGUCGGGGGUAUCGACCCCUCCGGUGUCGCAGCUAACGCAUUAAGUGCCCUGCCUGGGGAGUACGGCCGCAAGGCUA
RNAcentral lists this ribosomal RNA (540 nucleotides) under uncultured bacterium. Its description in RNAcentral is "bacterial SSU rRNA". It matches the Rfam family "Bacterial small subunit ribosomal RNA", at positions 341 to 896 of the family's 1533-position model. The record is from RNAcentral.